This 406-nucleotide ribosomal RNA is filed under the name uncultured bacterium. RNAcentral's name for it is "partial 16S ribosomal RNA". It matches the Rfam family "Bacterial small subunit ribosomal RNA", at positions 30 to 526 of the family's 1533-position model. The record is from RNAcentral.
AUUGAACGCUGGCGGCAGGCCUAACACAUGCAAGUCGAACGAGUGGCGGACGGGUGAGUAAUGUCUGGGAAACUGCCUGAUGGAGGGGGAUAACUACUGGAAACGGUAGCUAAUACCGCAUACCAUCAGAUGUUCCCAGAUGGGAUUAGCUUGUUGGUGGGGUAACGGCUCACAAAGGCGACGAUCCCUAGCUGGUCUGAGAGGAUGACCAGCCACACUGGAACGGAGACAGGGUCCAGAGUCUGACGGGAGGCAGCAGUGGGGAAUAUGGCACAAGGGGCGAAAGCCGGAUGCAGCAAUGCCGCGUGUAUGAAGAAGGCCUUCGGGUUGUAAAGUACUUUCAGCGGGGAGGCGUUACCCGCAGAAGAAGCACCGGCUAACUCCGUGCCAGCAGCCGCGGUAAUUC